Molecule: RNase P RNA, 414 nt
Filed under: Deltaproteobacteria bacterium
Lineage: Bacteria; Pseudomonadati; Myxococcota; Myxococcia
Description: RNase P RNA component class A
Rfam family: Bacterial RNase P class A
About the family: Ribonuclease P (RNase P) is a ubiquitous endoribonuclease, found in archaea, bacteria and eukarya as well as chloroplasts and mitochondria.
Source: RNAcentral
AGAGCGGGACGGGUGAUCGCCGCCUUGGCUCCGAGAGGGGCCUCGGGGGAGGAAAGUCCGAGCUCCGUAGGGCAGGAUGCCGGAUAACGUCCGGUGGGGGUGACCCCAUGGAGAGUGCCACAGAGAGCAGACCGCCAGACGUCCACGGCCUGUUAGGGGUCGUGGGGGUCGGUAAGGGUGAAAGGGUGCGGUAAGAGCGCACCGGGGCUCUGGUAACAGGGCUCGCAUGGUAAACCCCAUCCGGAGCAAGACCGAACAGGGACGACCGUGGCGACACGGUCAGGGUGGCCCGCCCCAGUUCCCGGGUAGUGUCGCUUGAGCCGCCUGGCAACAGGCGGCCUAGAUGAAUGAUCACCGCGCGCGGCGGGUAACCAAGGCGCGGACAGGACUCGGCUUACAGUCCCGACUCCGACG